Molecule: non-coding RNA, 147 nt
Filed under: Pan paniscus (pygmy chimpanzee)
Lineage: Eukaryota; Metazoa; Chordata; Mammalia; Primates; Hominidae
Also listed under: 1 other name
Source: Rfam by way of RNAcentral
GCCGGGCAUGGUGGAGCGUGCCUGUUAUCCCAGCUACUCGGAGGCUGAGGCAGGAGAAUCGCUUGAACCCGGGAGGCGGAGGUUGCAGUGAGCUGAGAUCGUGCCACUGCACUCCAGCCUGGGUGACAGAGUGAGACUCCGUCUCAA